AGGCAGCAGUGGGGAAUAUUGCACAAUGGGCGCAGGCCUGAUGCAGCGACGCCGCGUGAGGGAUGACGGCCUUCGGGUUGUAAACCUCUUUCAGCAGGGGAGAAGCCUUUCGGGGUGACGGUACCUGCAGAAGAAGCACCGGCUAACUACGUGCCAGCAGCCGCGGUAAUACGUAGGGUGCGAGCGUUGUCCGGAAUUAUUGGGCGUAAAGAGCUUGUAGGCGGUUUGUCGCGUCUGCUGUGAAAAUCCGGGGCUCAACCCCGGACUUGCAGUGGGUACGGGCAGACUAGAGUGUGGUAGGGGAGACUGGAAUUCCUGGUGUAGCGGUGGAAUGCGCGGAUAUCAGGAGGAACACCGAUGGCGAAGGCAGGUCUCUGGGCCAUUACUGACGCUGAGAAGCGAAAGCAUGGGGAGCAAACAGGAUUAGAUACCCUGGUAG
This 439-nucleotide ribosomal RNA is filed under the name uncultured bacterium. RNAcentral describes it as "bacterial SSU rRNA". It matches the Rfam family "Bacterial small subunit ribosomal RNA", at positions 346 to 793 of the family's 1533-position model. The record is from RNAcentral.